RNAcentral lists this long non-coding RNA (218 nucleotides) under Elaeis guineensis (African oil palm). Its description in RNAcentral is "long non-coding RNA (EGUI_LNC060840)". The record is from RNAcentral. Lineage: Eukaryota; Viridiplantae; Streptophyta; Magnoliopsida; Arecales; Arecaceae.
GCUUCCUACAUUAUCCUCAUCAUCAAGGCUAAAAAAUUAAACUGCUCUCUCUCUUCAUAAUAUGAUAUAGAAUCCUCACAUCAUUUUUAGUAAGAUAGUCAAAUCUACUAGUCCGGAGAAGAAAAAUCUUGCAGACCAUAUGAUACAAUAGGCAAUGCUCAGUAGACAGGUGUUUGCCCAAAAUUUCUUCAAACUCAAGUACAUCAUUCCUACCGAAU